GUGCUUGCUUCAACAGCACAUACACCAAAAUUGGAAUAAUACAGAGAAGAUUAGCAUAGCCUCAUCUCAAGGAUGAUACACAAAUUCGUGAAGCAGUCCAUAUUUUU
Small nuclear RNA from Eptesicus fuscus (big brown bat), 107 nucleotides. NCBI's taxonomy places the organism in Eukaryota, Metazoa, Chordata, Mammalia, Chiroptera, Vespertilionidae. The record is from RefSeq and is a predicted model, not a curated record.